This 345-nucleotide unclassified non-coding RNA is filed under the name soil metagenome. RNAcentral describes it as "partial contains 5.8S ribosomal RNA, internal transcribed spacer 2, and large subunit ribosomal RNA". The stretch from base 1 to 120 matches the Rfam family "5.8S ribosomal RNA", at positions 35 to 154 of the family's 154-position model. The record is from RNAcentral.
GAUGAAGAACGUAGCGAAAUGCGAUACGUAAUGUGAAUUGCAGAAUUCAGUGAAUCAUCGAGUCUUUGAACGCACAUUGCGCCCCCUGGUAUUCCGGGGGGCAUGCCUGUCCGAGCGUCAUUGCUGCCCUCAAGCACGGCUUGUGUGUUGGGCCUCCGUCCUCCUCCCGGGGGACGGGCCCGAAAGGCAGCGGCGGCACCGCGUCCGGUCCUCGAGCGUAUGGGGCUUCGCCACCCGCUCUUGUAGGCCCGGCCGGCGCUUGCCGACACAUCAAUCUUUUUUCCAGGUUGACCUCGGAUCAGGUAGGGAUACCCGUUGAACUUAAGCAUAUCAAUAAGCGGAGGA